UGCAGAAUCCCGUGAACCAUCGAGUCUUUGAACGCAAGUUGCGCCCGAAUCCAUCCGGUCGAGGGCACGUCUGCCUGGGUGUCACGU
This 87-nucleotide ribosomal RNA is filed under the name Saxifraga stolonifera (creeping saxifrage). RNAcentral describes it as "partial 5.8S ribosomal RNA". It matches the Rfam family "5.8S ribosomal RNA", at positions 73 to 154 of the family's 154-position model. From Rfam's summary of the family: 5.8S ribosomal RNA (5.8S rRNA) is a component of the large subunit of the eukaryotic ribosome. It is transcribed by RNA polymerase I as part of the 45S precursor that also contains 18S and 28S rRNA. Lineage: Eukaryota; Viridiplantae; Streptophyta; Magnoliopsida; Saxifragales; Saxifragaceae. The record is from RNAcentral.